GAUGAACGCUGGCGGCGUGCCUAAUACAUGCAAGUCGAGCGAACAGACGAGGAGCUUGCUCCUCUGACGUUAGCGGCGGACGGGUGAGUAACACGUGGAUAACCUACCUAUAAGACUGGGAUAACUUCGGGAAACCGGAGCUAAUACCGGAUAAUAUAUUGAACCGCAUGGUUCAAUAGUGAAAGACGGUUUUGCUGUCACUUAUAGGUGGAUCCGCGCCGCAUUAGCUAGUUGGUAAGGUAACGGCUUACCAAGGCAACGAUGCGUAGCCGACCUGAGAGGGUAGUCGGCCACACUGGAACUGAGGCACGGUCCAGACUCCGACGGGAGGCAGCAGUAGGGAAUCUUCCGCAAUAAGCGAAAGCCUGACGGAGCAACGCCGCGUGAGUGAUGAAGAUCUUCGGAUCUUAAAACUCUGUUAUUAGGGAAGAACAAAUGUGUAAGUAACUAUGCACGUCUUGACGGUACCUAAUCAGAAAGCCACGGCUAACUACGUG
RNAcentral lists this ribosomal RNA (497 nucleotides) under uncultured bacterium. Its description in RNAcentral is "partial 16S ribosomal RNA". It matches the Rfam family "Bacterial small subunit ribosomal RNA", at positions 28 to 507 of the family's 1533-position model. The record is from RNAcentral.